This 438-nucleotide ribosomal RNA is filed under the name Triticum aestivum (bread wheat). RNAcentral's name for it is "partial small subunit ribosomal RNA". The record is from RNAcentral. Lineage: Eukaryota; Viridiplantae; Streptophyta; Magnoliopsida; Poales; Poaceae.
AUGAGAACCAGCUCUGAAGUAUCAUCAUCUAUUGAGUAUCACCUACUUGACUGUAUUUCGUCCAGGUCACAAAGAAAUGAGCCGAAGAGAAAAAUGGAGCAAAAGUGGAAGCUGCCUCCUACUGGAACCCUGAAGAUAAAUACGGAUGGGGCCUUCUUUGAAGCACAACAUACAGGCGGAUGGGGCUUUGCAAUUCGAAAUGACCAUGGCGUUCUAUUAGUAGCUGGUGCAGGUAAUUUGGAGAACGUCUCAAAUCCCCUGCAUGCUGAAGCUUCAGCACUACAACAAGCAACUAAUAUAGCUAUUCAGAUGGGGUGCCAUCAGGUGAUGUUCGAGACAGAUUCAAUGGUACUAAAACAGGCUAUCACUACUACAGAGUAUGAUCUCUCAGAGUUAGGCUCUUCCAGGAUGUUAAAUUUCAAAUGCAUGUGGGCUUAA